Molecule: transfer RNA, 75 nt
Filed under: Cordylochernes scorpioides
Lineage: Eukaryota; Metazoa; Arthropoda; Arachnida; Pseudoscorpiones; Chernetidae
Description: tRNA-Thr
Source: RNAcentral
UGUCAAGGGAUGGGAAUCGAACUCACGACCUUCCGCUUACCGGGCAGAUGCCAUGACCAUUAGGCUACCUAGGAC